GAUGAACGCUGGCGGCGUGCCUAAUACAUGCAAGUCGAGCGAACAGACGAGGAGCUUGCUCCUCUGACGUUAGCGGCGGACGGGUGAGUAACACGUGGAUAACCUACCUAUAAGACUGGGAUAACUUCGGGAAACCGGAGCUAAUACCGGAUAAUAUUUUGAACCGCAUGGUUCAAUAGUGAAAGACGGUUUUGCUGUCACUUAUAGAUGGAUCCGCGCUGCAUUAGCUAGUUGGUAAGGUAACGGCUUACCAAGGCAACGAUGCAUAGCCGACCUGAGAGGGUGAUCGGCCACACUGGAACUGAGACACGGUCCAGACUCCUACGGGAGGCAGCAGUAGGGAAUCUUCCGCAAUGGGCGAAAGCCUGACGGAGCAACGCCGCGUGAGUGAUGAAGGUCUGCGGAUCGUAAAACUCUGUUAUUAGGGAAGAACAAAUGUGUAAGUAACUAUGCACGUCUUGACGGUACCUAAUCAGAAAGCCACGGCUAACUACGUG
Molecule: ribosomal RNA, 497 nt
Filed under: uncultured bacterium
Lineage: Bacteria
Description: partial 16S ribosomal RNA
Rfam family: Bacterial small subunit ribosomal RNA
Source: RNAcentral